AGUGCGAGAGUUAUCACGAUCACAUUAGUGUUGGGAUUUUAUAGAGAACUGAAACAAGGAUUUGCUGAUCUUGGAAUUAUUCUCUUGGUGGAAUACAGAAGUUCUUACAGUUUCAUUAUUUCCAAAAUAAUAACUCCUCCUCCAUUAAGUAUUGGGAAGUUUAGAUGGUAUAAUUACUUGUUCUCAGUUGAGACAGUGGACCAAAGCAGACCAACAUGGACGGAGGGAAAGUCUAAUCAACGUUUUGUACAAAGAUAUCAUCAAAAAAAGAUUCCCAUCGAUUGUGUGGACAAUGCAGAUGGAGCUGACGGUGUGGUCAUCUAUGACGAUGAAACAUUUCCUAUUUCUUUUCAAGAUGCCGUAGAGCGGAUUGCUUCUUGUGACGGACAAGGCCCUAACAGUUCUGUGCAACCUUUCCAAUCUGCCCGUUAUCAGAAUGAGGACCCUGCCGCUCAGGAUCCUGAAGAGACGGACAGUACUUCAUCAUCCAGAUUCCCAUCCAGUGUUUGGACAAUCCUGAUUCUAAUCCUGUGCUACCAUUUCAUACCCAUUCUGAGAAUGCUACUCAGUUAUUCACCAUCCAGACUUCAAGAGGAGGACGACACAGGUGUACUGGAGACGCCUACCCAUUUACACUUCUGACAAUGGGCCAGCAGCAUGAGUUUUUAUUUUAUUGUGCAAAUACAAUUUUGCAUGUACUGUAUGUACUGUGUAUGACAACACCUUAUAUGUAUAUAAAUGUAUAAUAAAAUGUACACUGGUUUUUAAUUCAUGUUAUCCUUGAUUAAUUUCUAGAAAAGUGUUACAUGUAUGUACGUUUUAACAUAUCGCUUGCACAAAAUAAAAUCCCCACCAUGAUGUACUUGUCUAUAUACUGUAAUAGCAAUUUAAAUGUCUACUGUUUUAAUGAUAUAUAAGUUUCCUAUGUUAAACAAGCCAACUGCCAUUUGAUGCUAACAUAGGAGUGUCGGUUGGAUCAAACCAGGGCCAACUGCCAUUUCAUGUUAAUACAAGACAGACGCAUCCUGAUUAGACUGAUUAACUAACGAAAGACAGGACACAGCCAAAUCCUGAUCAAACUGAUUAACUCACUGAACUCACUGUAUCACUCAAUAUUCUGUUUAUCACUCAAUAUUCUGUUUACGUAACUAUUACCUUACAAGCAUCAAAGGGCACUUUGGCUCGGCCCCUGUGGUUUUUUCAUCACCUCGUCUCCAAACUAAAUUGUAUAAAUUGCUUGUGUCUUCUUCCAACCUGUGCUCUCCUACAGACUACGCUGUGUUCUGUAGAACUGGUGCCUUUGAGAUCUCAAAUUAAUGCACA
This is a long non-coding RNA of Cottoperca gobio, 1323 nucleotides long. The record is from Ensembl. NCBI's taxonomy places the organism in Eukaryota, Metazoa, Chordata, Actinopteri, Perciformes, Bovichtidae.